Topomyia yanbarensis is the source of this 1987-nucleotide long non-coding RNA. RefSeq lists it as uncharacterized. The transcript has 3 exons. Lineage: Eukaryota; Metazoa; Arthropoda; Insecta; Diptera; Culicidae. The record is from RefSeq and is a predicted model, not a curated record.
UGGAAGCAUUGUGAUUGGUCUCAUUUUUAUGACGAACACUGUUCGUAAUCUUCAAAUUUCUCUCCAGAUUCCAAUGUUUAACUUACGUAAGCAAAUCAGUAACAGACACCCUUGAACAAUAUAUUUAAUUUGUACCAAAUCGCUGCUGAACAAACUGGUAUAUUAUGUAAAAAAGAACAUUCUAAAAACAUGUACAAAAACAUGUUCGUGCUUAUUCCACACACUUUGACAGUGAUGUCAUAUGUAUUUUUCACCAUUUUAUUAAAAUAUGCAAUUGGAGGAAAUUUGACAAUAAGUUCACAAGGUGAAUAAAAAAUAUUAUGGCAACACUGGCAGCUGGCCAUUCAUGGUUUGACAGUUGCUCGAGAAUGAAUAAUUAGUUUCAAGUGUUUGUGCGCGUAUGAAAUUGAUACAUUUUAUCAAAAUGUUUGCGGUAGCACAAACCCGAAAGGGGAAAACAUCCAAACCGGAACUGACGGUUGUACCGGAAACAUGGGUAGGCGAUAAAUGUGUUUUCUGGCCUUCGAAAUCCCUGGUGUCCCUAUCACGGGAUCCUAAAACAAAACCAGGACCAACCUGGACUACAACAAAAGCGAAGAUUGUUGGAACAGCCAAUAACUUCGUCGAAGCAGAAAACGUACUAGCUGAGCUUCAAAAAAUUACCGAUUCCGAGGAUGCUGGAGGUGUUGGAACCCGAGCUAAUCCAGUAAAAAAAGAGGGAAGUUCUCUAGUAACACAUACCAACUAAAGGAACAGAAGUCGCUCCCUUGCCCCGUGUUUGCCGUUCCAACGGUGGAACUUAUACAACCCACGAACCGUUCUGUUACUCCGGAAAACUUCGAAUUGAGCUCGAAAACCUUGGGCCCAUUGAUGACUAACGAAAACCCGGAUGACUCAGUUCAAUCUCAAAUAAAGUCGGUGGAGGUACAGAUCGCCAGUAGUGGAAGUAAUAUGCAAUAUUUACAGCUGGAAAAUGGAAAUUUAGUACCUUUUAUUUGCGAAACUAAUUCAACGGACGACGUAGCGGAUGACGCUCCAAUAAAUGCGAAUAUUUGUGACAAUAAUUGCUGUGGAAAUGCGAGUGUUUUAAAUCGGCUUGACAGUAUGGAGAGUGAAAUCAAAGCGAUUAAGGGCCUUACUUUGCAGGUACUGGAUUUUAUGGCUAACGUUGAUAAAUUUAUGGCAAAGAAAAAUGAUGUCAUAAAGAGACCUGAGGAAAAUUUUGCAGGAUGCAAGGAAAUCUAUGCAUACAAACAAGGGAGGAUUUGCAAAAACUAGAAGAAAAGCUGCGCGAUACCCUUUUUGAAAACCGUAUGCUUCAGUAUUGCAAAUCCUUAUACAAUCUAACCGGAAAGCGUGAAGGGAUGCCGUUUUUCAAGACUUUUAUAAGAAAAGUUAUGUCGCCCACUGUUCUACAACCGUUUUCCUGGUUAGGGAAUCCGCGUCUUGUCAAACAUGCCGAUGGAAGUCAUAGUGGCCACAAUGAAAGCUUUAAGAGCAGUUUCCCCAACUUUGUGCAUUUUGUUUUUCUGGUAGUGCGAGCAGCAGAUUUUGAAUUUACCGAAGAGAGCAAUAAUAAAUGUUUCUCAAAUUUUCUGCGAACAAAAAAUACAGAAAUUAAGAGAUUCGAAUCAGGCAAAGGUAAUCGUGCAGCGUAUACAAGAAAGCGCAAAUGUUUUAAACAUGUUGAAGUGGGUCAAAAUAUACUGGCCAAGAAUCAAAUGAAGGCAAGCGUUACUAACAAUAUAAAAAUGGAACAAAACGAGUUGGAGAUUGAUUUGGUAGUAAGUGGAGAUUAUGAAGUUGAGGACAUUGGAAAAGAGGAUGACAACGCUAUUAGUUUCGAGUCAGAAUCGGAAACGGCUUUAGAAUAGCAGCAAGUUGACAUGUUUCGUUUAUUUUUCUUAAAUUCUCUAACACUUUUUAUUAUACCUAUUCUUUUUAUUGCUGAACGCAUUUGUUAACUGUAGAUGUUUUACAGCUGGAA